Molecule: long non-coding RNA, 2690 nt
Filed under: Equus asinus (donkey)
Lineage: Eukaryota; Metazoa; Chordata; Mammalia; Perissodactyla; Equidae
Description: lncRNA (ENSEASG00005032901.1)
Source: RNAcentral
GAAGAGGCAGAGCUCAUCCUGGGGUCAAAGGACCCAGGCGUACGCUAACUAGAAGGUGGUGUGAACCUCACAACAUACAUACAAAUGGUACAAAGUAAGCAGGUGCUCUGGGAGAAGCUGAGGGAAACCCUUUCCCACACCUAGUCCUUUCACUUGGGAGAUAAUUUUGUUUGAUUCUAAAGAGUACUAUGACUUCAGGGCCCAAGGAGGACAGCUCAUUGGAAAUAGUUCAGAGGAGAUCCCAACACAAACUCAUCAUUCAUAAUGGAGAAGCAUCCACUGCACACGCCUACUACUACCAGACUAGUUUUUUCAUCUCUGAAAAAAGGGAACAGAACACUAUGGUCUAGAGAGAUGUGUCACAAGCACUUCAUCCAAGAUGCAACAGCUCAUAGACUGCAAAGAAAGGCACAUACUUUGUGAAGCAACUGGCAAUUAAAUAUUUCAACUGGAUAGUCAAUUCAAGCAUUUUAACUUGAAAGACUGCCAAGAUAGAAGAAUCACUGGAACUCUCAAAUAGCGAUUUCACUAACUUUGUGAUUGAUUUAGGGUCCACGGCAUCCUUCUGUAUAUGCUAUUCUAAUUCGUAAUAUCAGUAACUGAACUUGUCAGAUGCAGCCAGAUUAUUCUCAUCAGUUAAAAAAUCCCAAAUCCAGAACAAAAAGGACAUGCACAAGGAAACAGGAUGGCAGCAGCUGCUAUCUGCUGGCUCUGCUGAGUCUUUCCGUGACAUUCAACCGCGAGGAAAGAUUUUACUCAGUGAACAUUACCAUGUUUCCAUGCCUCCUUAUCCUCCAGCUCCAACAAUCAACCUGACUGUUCUGCAUUUUUUAGGCCAGGAUACUGUAGGGCUGAAUUUCUGUAACUCAGGGUAUUUCUAUUUUAAUCAUCAACAAUUUUUAGGUAUUGCAUCAUUUGAAAGGAAUGUUAUUUUUUAACAACUCUUUCUCACACAGAGAACACACUUAAAAUUGCAAAACUCUCCAUCCCCAGCAUUAAAAUCAUCACCUUUCAGGAACAUCCUUCCUAAUUGUCUCUCAGCCCACAAGCCAUGAGAAUGUUUCCAUUUCAAAAUCCAGUCUUCACUGUCGUACUUUAUAUGAUGCUUUUUGAGCAGGUUGCCCUUCUUUGGAUUUUUUUCUUCCAAAUCUGAUAGGAAAGUUGGAGCCUGAAAUGUGAAUCCAUAAACUACACCAGUAACUCUCGUGUGGCAAAAGCGGAACAGUGGAAAUACAUUGUUUUCAUUGAAGUGAAAUGCCAGUCUGUUCUUGCAUGAGCAAACUGGAUUAAGAUAACUUCCCUUGGGGCUUCAGGAUUUCACAAGGAGACUGUAUCUGACUACAAGACUUCUUUAAGAACGUAGUUUCAAAAUGUUACGGACAUCAGGCUCCAACAGUCCUGACUGGAGAAAGUAGACCAGAAUAGAGAUGCAACUGUUACUGCUGUGGAGCUGGAUCACCUAGCUGUAAGUCCUCUCUCGACUUACAUGCCUUUAGUGAAAGCUUUCCUGCAGGAAGCAGAUGAACAAGGAGCGCAAGACCCGGAGCCGCGCUUCUGAGUUGAAGUCCUGGCUAUGCUAUUUACUAGCUAUGUGAUCCUGGGCAAUCAUUUAAUUUUUCUGAGGUUGAUUAUCCUGAUCUAGAGAAUGGAGACAUAAAUUCCUAGACUGCAGUGGUUGUUAGGGUUAUACGUAAUUCAGUAUAUGGAAACAUUCUAUAAUUUUUAAAGCACUACACAAACAUUUAUUUUAUUAGAUGGAUCAGCACCCCGGAGCGCCUUUUCAGGGUGAAGUACAAAAUGAACUGAGAAGUGGACGGGAAGGUACUCUGAAAAAUAGGGACAGCUUCCAUUUUUGGAACACUCUGCGCCAGAUACUGCUGCAUGCUUUAAUAUGCAUUUUCUCAACGUUCAAAAUCACCUGACAAGGUUGGUGGUGUCAUCUCCAUUUCCCAGGUGAGGGAACAGAGAUUUAGAACGGGGACAUGACUUGCCCUUGGUCACAAAGCUUGUGGAGGGCAAGACCAGGGUGCAAAGCGGGAUUUGCCCGAAUCCAGGCCCAGGCUUUUAGCCGUGAGUCUCUGCUGGCUCAGCGCAUUAUAGAGACUGUAAUGGCUAUUCUCCACGUGGCCGGAUGGAACUUUGAAUGUAAACUGGCUCCGAUUUCAGGGUUUCACCAAUAAGCACAUGAGCAAACCAUUAAAACCAGCUUUGGUUCUGAUCAGCAGAAGCAGCACCCAACAACCCACCAAGAGGACGGCGACAACUUGGAAAUUAGUAGGAUUUGGCUAGCACUGAACGGUUGGAGACCUGGAUGCUCAGCCACACACGUGAUUUGCAGUGUGCCCUUAAGCAAGCCACAUCUCUAAAGCCUGGCUUCCCGCUAAUCUAAAGGAGGCUCACGUCAAAAGAGCAUAGUGACUAGCCCAACACUCAUUCACAUGAUUAUGACAGUGCUAAAAUAAUGUCUCUAAAAUACAGCCCAGCAGUUUAUCCUCCUAAGUUCCCCGUUUCUAAGAGGCAGUAUGGCGACAUGGUCACAUGUAGACUUCUGGAGGCAGAAUGUCAAGCUCUGCAAUUCGCUCCCUGCACAACCCUGGGUAACUUACGUUAACUCUCAGUGUCUCAGUCUCCUCAGCUGUUUAAAAUAAGGAUGAUGAUAGUACCCACCACACCUAAGGUUGCUGUGACAA